GGCCAAAGGAAGAACAAAGGAAGAAAAGAAAGAACAAGAACCCUAGGGUGAAAAUUCAAAAGAAAAUUGGUGGAUUUCAAGUAAUCAAGUAAUCAAAGGUAAAAUUUCUUGAUUUUGACUUGUGAUCUACCUUUCCCAUGCAUUCUUUUGCAUUUUUCAUGGUUGAAUCACAUGAUUUCAUGAUGGGUAUCUUGCUGGCUGAACACUUAGAGAGAGGUUUUGAUGCUUGAUUUUGUUAGAUUUUAAGAUAUUUUAGUGUUUUUAGUUAGUUAAUGAUGUGUAGCAUGAAAAGCCAACAAGAAAAAUUCAUUUUCUCCCAUCACCCAUCAUUGGCCGAAUUCUCCAUGUAGAAUAUUGAUGAUGAUUUUGAUUUUAUUUCAAGUAAUUUGGUUAGGAAUUAGUGAUUUGUGGUGUGAGAAUUAAGUAAGAAAAAUUAUAGUGUUGACGCACCCACCAUGGCCGAAUUUUCCAAGAGAAAAUGUGAGGAUGAUUUUGCCAUAUUUCAAGUUAUUUAAUUUGUGUUUGAUGAUUUGGAGUAUUGGGAGAAAAAUGAAAUUAUUUGGAGUUGAAUUGGACGUAUUGGCCAAUUAAUCGAGUGAUAGAUCGAAUUAGGCCAAUACCGUUUAAUUUCGGUACAUAAUUGAAUUUGUGUAGAACACUGUGUUUAGACAAUAAUCCGAACAAUUUGCAUCCCAUUUCAUACAUUAGUAUAAAGCCUGAAUUGGUUUUAUAACAAUUUAGCACAAUGUAGUAAAUGGCUUAUUGUGCAUUAUGUCUAGGUGGUGAGCAUUCUAGCAAAAAUAAAGAGAUAGUACUUGAGGAUCAAGAAUCGAAGUACUUGAAAUUCGACUCCCGAAGUAGUGAGUAACCUUAUCAUCAUCUUAAUUAUUUAAAAUAUGUUUUAUUUGAUUUUGUGAAUUUUAUGAAAAAUGAAUUAAAUGAUUAAUUUUUCGAUUUUAUAAACAAAAUGUGAUUUAAUGAAAUGAUUUUAAUAAAUUAUUUUAAAAUUGAAUGAUGGUUUGAAAAUAGAGUAAUUGGAGACUGCUUUUGUGUGUUGUAAAUUCAUGAUUCUAAUUGAUUGGCUUAUGGCAAUAUUGGCAUGAAUGGUUGAUUUGAUAAAUGUGUUGGAAAUGUAUAAAUUGUUGAUUUGCCUUGGAAGGCUGUAAAAUAAAAUAAAAUAAUUGCCAUGUCAUGCUAUUGCAAAUUUUAUUGUAUGGUGGGUUUAACUUGCUGCAGUGGGCGGGUUUUCUGUGGACUAACCUAUUAGAGGGGCACGAAAUCCCGCUAUAUUUUACCUCGAUGGGAGAGGCGAAUAGGGUAACUCCCGAGGUAUAACUUUAGAGUUCACUUCAUGCCAAACCACCACGUGAGGGUGAACUCAGCCAAUGCCAAGAAGCGACUAUGUUUUCAAAAUAAAAACAUGAUUUAUGCGUACAUAACUUUUUAACAGCCUUGGCGAACUCGGUUGGGAUAGCCCUCGAUCAAGGUAUCCCUGAUAACUAGGUAUGGGAAUGAUUUUGGCACGAGCCAAAGCUUUUAAGAAAUUCAUAAGCCAUGUUGAUUACUCGAUUUAUAUGAAUUGAUUUUAUUUGGUUGAAGCAAGUUGAAAGGUGAUGAGUUACAGUAUGUUAAACUAUUUUAUCUGUCUCCAUUUACUUGGCUUUAGAUAUUUUAGAUGGUAUUUGUUUACUCAUUAGGAUUAUAUAAUCUUACCACCCUCUUUUCCACCCAUUUCAAGCUCAGAAUAGGCUGUAGAUAGCUGAUUUCAUCGAGGCUACCAUUGGAUUUACAUCCUCCAAAUUGUAGGUUCACAAUCUUCCUUACUUUUAGUUAUUCGGGGGCCCACUGGUUAUUGUAAAUUAAAUUAACUACCCUGGCUUACUGUAUUAUAGUAUGUAUGAAUUUAUUUUGCUUUUAUGCUGCUACAAAAAUUAUUUAUGUAUAACUUUAAAAAUAUUAUUUUAUAAGAAAAUAAAAUAUUUUAUUGAAUAUUUCUUUUAUUUUUUUAUUAUAUCCAAAUAAUCAUAAUUUCAUUUUAAAUGAAGGUUUUAGAUGUUUAAACUUAUUUUUGAUUAUGAAUUAUGUGUUUUGUACUUGCAUACUACAUUUUUAGCGGAUUUCGAGAUUUUUGAGGAAAAAUGACCAAAAUGCCCCUAUGAGAAAAAAAAUUGUUUUUCUAUUGUUUUGAUUUGGAAAUAGUUUAUAAUCUCUCAAAACAUAAUUUUAGUGACUAAUACUCACAGCGGAAGCUAGAAAAAUUGAUGUUAAGCCUUGCGAGGUUUCGAUUGACAUUUCGGGUAAUGAAUGUCUAUCGGGACGUCGUGACUGUUGUCACGGGCUCGAUGGGAGUUCCGGGUCGUGACAAAAAGGGUCCAUGCUCAACAAAAGAUUUGGAGAGGGAAAACUUUAAUAGCAUUCAUGCAAAUCAAGUCAAGUAAAAGACGGGUCCUCAUUGCAGCGGAAAGGCAUUCUCGCUCAUAUUAUUGACGGGACGCGGGUUUUCUCAACUGGCCAAGGGUUUCUCUCUAAACCCCUCAUUUCCGACUUAGUUAAUUAAUUCCUUGAUGUUGGAAGUCAAUGAUCCAUUAUGGUGUUAAAGGGGUAGAAAAUAUGGCAAAGAUCAAUAAGGUAGUCAAGUGGGACAGAAAGUUUCUCGCUACAGCAAAAUUCGGUUGGCCAAACAGAGAGUUUCUCGCUGCAGCGAGAAGCUAUAGUAACUUUCUCGAUACGGCAAGAAUGCUUUCUCGCUACGACGAGAAUGCAUUCUCGUUGCAGCGAGAACCAGGUCUAGUAGAAACCCUCACAACCUGAGAGUUUCUCACUGCAGCGAGAAAUAGAGCACCAAGAACAAGUUUUCAUUCCCUUCAAGAAAAGACCAUCCUACUGAAAUGACAAAAGCAACAUGAAACACAUAUAAAUUCCCAAAAUUCAACAUGUCAAAUUUUUACAUGCAUUACAACCAUACACCAUAUAUGUAUAUAUAUAUAUAUAUAUCAAUCAUCAUGCACACCCUCCCAUUAUCAUCAGCUCACAUGCACUCCCACUAGCAUAUGGCUGGGUCAGUAUCGGCUUAUGCGCACUCCUACUCGCACAUAGUUAGGUCAGCAUCGGCUUAUGUGCAAUUUCACUUGCACAUAGCUUGAUCAGCAUCGGCUUAUGCACACUCUUACUCGCACAUAGCCGGGUCAAUAUCAUUAAACAACAUUAUUCAUAUAUAUAUAUCAUCACAGUAUAGGAGCACAUAGGUUCGUCCUUUUACACAUUUCACAUUUUAGUAACAUCAAGACAUUUUAUCAAGGGCUUGUUCCUCGGCACACAUUUUGAAAGAAAAGUUGGUUAAAAUCAUUCAAAUGUUUUAUACAAAUACAUUCACAUUCCCAAAACAAAUUUUGAAAUGCAAGUUCACUCACCGAUAUUUCGUUGAACCUUUAGUCGAUUCUAACUUUCCUAAUGGUCCAAAUGGGACGGUGAGGCUUUGUUGGAACCUAUCAUCACAUUAACACCACAAUUAACUCAAUUCUCAUAAUUACAAGUUCUACAAGCUAUCACCUACUAGUUUCCAAGUGCCAUUAAAUGGCUAUCAAUUUUCAUUAUCCUAAUCACUCCAAAGUGAAUUAACAACCUCAACUACAAAAUAUUCACAAGUCAAAUCUCUAGCCAUUCUCAACACUAAACAUUCAACUCUAAUUUACUACUCACCUUAAUAGCUUUGUAACUUUUAAAUUAUUUCCACUAAUUCUCUAAACUAUUGUAAAGCUCUCACUUUCUCUCUCUAAAUAGCUAGUUAGUGAGAGAAAGUAUGGAAGUAAUAUUUUUAAAGUGUUUUAAAGUGAGAGAGUGAAAGAGUGCAAGAGUUUUAUGCAAAAGUGCACCAAAGCUUGAAAAUUGAAGCUAUUUUGAGAAAGGUUAUGGAGGUUUCAUAUCAAGCUUCCAUGGAGGAUGAAAGCAACGUGAAAGAGAAGAAGGAAGUAGAAGAAUAAGCUAUUGGAAAAUGGGAGAAGAAGCUGCUGGAAGAAAGAGAUAUUUAUAGCCCAAGCUUAUCCACUCCACUUAAAUUACCAAAAUGCCCUCACAAGUUAACUUGUUCUCCUCCAAUCCUUUAUGCAAUCUUUUUACUCUUUUGACACUGGGGCAAGGUCCAUAAUGGUCUAGAAAUGCUCGAGUUCAUGAAAACUUAAAAAUUUGACCUCGAGGUGAAAAAUGACCAUUUUGCCCCUACCGUGGAAAUCAUCAUCAUUUUUAUUUCCUUUGUCAUUCUACCCAUAUUUUCAUCAUUCAUUUAUGCCUUAGGCCUACUUAGGUCUUAGUAUUGUUUAAACUUACUUUUAAGGGCUUACUAAGGAAAUGACGAAAUUACCCCUGAUAAGGGAUAUCGAGUCUACAUUUACCUACGAAUCUGUAAAGGUCAAAGUCUCACACUUUACCUUAAAUCCUAUUAAUUGAUAGGGUACUUGAACCUUAUAAAAAGUGGUGGAGGGAAUGGGGAGCUAGUAAGUACCUUCCGCUCCUCAAAAGUUUUAAAAUUUCAUAAUAUACUCUUGCCUUUUUAUUUUAUAAUUUUAUAGUUUUGUCCCUACAACAAUGCUUUUGCUUCAUGAGAUGCCCUCACAGCAAUUAGUCAAUAAUUGAUUUUAGUCGACUUAGGGACUAAAGGUAGUCAAUCUUAGCAUGUAAUAAUUGUUAAAAAAAUGUUUUUAUUUUGUAUUUAACACGAAGUUGGAAUUUUUUGUGUAAUUUUUACAUGAAUUUUUCCCAUCUAAGUUACUUUACGUUUUUGUCAAACAUUGAACUUCUAGCAUAACUACUUUAUAAAUAUUGUCUUCGCCUUUCACCCCUCCCCAAGCAUUAAAUCUUGGCUCUGCCACUACUUAUAAAUAUGCAGUUAAAAUUUGAAAAUGAUACUCAAACUCGUAUCUUAAUAACUUAGACACUAUCGUUAAAUACACGAUUAUGCAAGCCAAGUUUUUUUAUCUAUUUAUGGCUAUCCUAUUAAUUAACUGAAUCUGAGUCCAAACCCGAACCUGAAUAAGAAAGAAAUUUAUUUCACAUCUAAAAUCACAAUUUACUAAUAAUUUAAAUUUAUAUAAACGAUCAAACAUUAAAAUUGAAAUUUUUAAAAAUAAAUAAUUUUUAAAAUAAACCAAACAAAAACUUAAAUAACUAAAAACCAAAUAAAAAGGCAUCCAUAGUUAAAUAACAAAUGAUUUAGUUUUCGAACAACUCAUGGAAAAUCAUUCAUCUUCCUCAACGUCAAUAUCAAGUUGAACCUACAGCUGAACAUGAUCCUAGACAAAUGCAAAAGCUGCAAAUUAUGUAACUUUUAAGAUGAGAUGUAAUAGAUUUUUUUUAUAUAUAAAGUAAAUGAAAUAAAAAUAUAAUAAGUAGUAUAAUAUUUACCUUUUAUUUCAUUUUUCAACCAAUUUUAAGUGUACAUAAAUGCCUCCAAAUUGUCUAGAUGAAGCCUACUUCAAUAGCAACUCACCAUUCUCCCAGUAGUGUUAGAGGUUGGCUUUGUUGGUCCUUAUAAUAUGUACUAGAGGUGGGGUGAAUAGCACAAUUUGGCUCUUAACAAUAUUGGAAACUAAUUUUUAGAACUUAAGAAAAUAAAAACAGAGUAUAAGAUGCACAACAAUUUAGAGUGGUUUGGUCUAAGACCUACAUCAACUACCUUGAUUAUCCAACUAAGGAUUUUUCCACAAAUCCAGUAUGGACUGGUGAAAUUCACAAACUUUCACCAAGCUUUACAAUGGCUUUUACCAGGCUCAGCCAAAAACCUUUUACACUAGUUUUUCACAGGUUUAACUAAAACCUAAUGUGGUUUUCCAAGGCUGAACCACAACCUACAACAAUCAAGCUAUCCCAAGCUUGAACAACCCCUUAGAGUGACUCCCUCACUCUACGAAUACAAGAGAAGUAAUAAAAAAGUACUUAUGAUCACGUACUUGAUAUAGAUGGUACAAGAUAAAGUGUUGAACUUUAUUAUAAAGAUUGACGUUUAAGUGCAGUGAAGCUUUUUUGGUUUUUCUACUUUCUAUAGCUCAAAUCUCAUUUAAGGCUUCAAAAAACUUGUUUCUCAUUGUUGGAAGACCCUUUUAUACUUGGAGAUGCACCUCUGAUGGCAGUUUGACAGUUUAUAUCCAUUGGAAACAAUUGAGGAUGAGUUCUAGCCGUUAAUCUGUCUUGUAGUGCUUUGGUUCAAAUUGCAGACGGAGAGCUCUUAGUCGACUGACUUGGUUGACUAAGUUGGUUUUGUUUCUAGUUUGCAGAUUUUGGCAGAGAGCACUUAGUCGACUAACUUGGUUGACUAAAUUGGUUCUAUUCUUCGAACUCUUUAGCCUGCCAUUUCUCCAAUUUGAAAUUUGGUCAACCAAUGUUCUUCCUUGUUUCACCAAUGAACUUCCUCCUUGUUAUUUAGUUACAUCUUAUUGAUUUUAUCCCUCUUUUUCUUUCAAAAAAACUCUUUGAAGAGUCAAUAAGUUGAUUUCAUAUAUUACUUUCCUACACACUCAAGUAAAGGUAUUAGACACACAUAAAUGAGAAUGUUUUAUUAUCAUCAAAAACUAAUAGAGCCAAUAGGCUCUUAUGCAACUUUAAAGAUAGGAAUACCAAGAAAGUCUUUGACAAUCAUUUGCAAUGUGGAAUACUUUAUCCCAUUUAUCUUCCACCAAGUCAGAAUAUAUAUAUAAAAAAACCCAAUAAAGUCUUUGACAAUCAUUUGCAAUGUGGAAUACUUUAUCCCAUUUGUCUUCCACCAAUUUACAAUAUAUUAAAAAUAAAACCCAAUGCAUAGAAAAAUUUGCUCAUUUAGAUAAUAAUCCAAUUCUAAUUUCACAUGCACAUCAAUAUAAGAAGAACUACAAAACAAAACCAACUAGGAAAACUUAUUUUGUUGACUUAAUGCUUGAACGGAUGGUGUUAAUGCUGGAAUGUGAGAAAAAUGUGGUUUUGGUUAAGAGGAUCUAGAUUAGUAUUCAUGAAGUAAAUCAUAACAAGUUGUCUUAACUUAUUGAUAUGGAGUUAGUUCAAAAGCUCAACAACAUCGAAUCAACUCAAAAUCAUGAAUCUUUUUCAAACAUGAUUCCAAACAUAGUUUCAUAAGCUUAUAGUCAUAAACCUCUGAGUACCAACUAUUACUCAAUUAUUGGGUCUCAUCACGACAGGAGCUGUUCUUAUUCUUUUAAUGUAAUAAGAUCAUUUCUAUAGUAACACACUUAUAUAUAUCUUAAUUUGUUCGAUCCCAUAGUCUCCCUACUAACUCUUUGGUCAAUUGUGACUUUAACCUUAUAUAGAAUUUUCGUAACUUAGGUCUCUUACUACGAAAGACAUUACUUUUUGACUAUACACUGCCCACUUAACCUCAAACCCAUAUCGGUUGGAAGCCAAUAUUACAACACCACUUAUCACAUACCACCUCAUGAUGGUCUUUAGUAAUUCGUUAAUGUCUAAUUCAAAAAGAUGGUUUAAUCAUCCUGUUAGCUUUAAAAUGAUUAUAGUUUUGAUUAUGAGCUUUAAAAUGAUUAUAUUUUUGAUUAUGACAAAAUGAUCAAAUUUUCUUGAACAUUAUUUGAAUGAUCCUUGACAAAUUCUUGAAAUGAUUUAGCUUUUCUACAUUUGUUAUUACAUGAUUACAAGCUUGAUUGUUUUAGUUGUGUUAACUCUAGAAGCUAUUGAAUUAUCACACACUUCUUCUACAAGCUUAAAUGACUUAAUUGUAUGAGUGUUAAAUUUGCUUAAAAGAGUUCUACUUAUGAUCACUCUUACAUAUACCUUUGAGAUGUUGAAGUUGCAGGAUAGGUUCUCAAAUAGUGAAAUUUAUCCUAAAACAUUCAAAGAUCAUUAAUCUACACUACACUACGCUUACUCCAAGUCAAGAAGCUUAGUCAUCACUCAACAUUUGAUCACAAGGAAGAUAUGGCCAAACUAAAAUAUCAAGGAAUCUUGAAGAAACAAAGCUCCAAUCGAUCUUAGAGCUAAGCAAAUCGAUCUUAUGUAAGAACGGGUGAGAAUAGGUGAGAAAACUUGAAAAACACACAGCCAUAGUCAACCCUAUAAAGCUUAUAGUCGGCCAUGGAAUAAUGCCAUAGUCGAUCUUGAUGAAGAUAUAGUUGACCCUAGAAUAGUGCUAGUCGACCCUCCAAACUCUGAUGAGCAAAAUACAAGCUUUUUGGAAGAGAAUCGACUAGAGAACUUCUAUACUCGACUAUAGAUGAUAGUUAGACACAAAAUCCAAAAGGAAAACAACUAUUGUUGUGGAUUUUGCAGAUACAAGUACAUGUAUCGAACAAGUAAUAUAGACAGUAAGUCUAGAAUUGUAUCCUAUAGGGAUUUGUUCUUAAAUCUUCAUUAAGUACUUAAAUUAUGACAAACUAAUCUUAUUUAAGUAACUUGAUGUUUUAGAAAAUUAGUUAAAACUAAAUUAAAGCAAACACUAAAUUAAUUAAUAGAAACUAAAAAUUCACUUGAGAAAGGCAUUAGAUUAAAACCUAAGAUUAUGGGUUCAUUCAACACUUCAUCUGAUACCGGCUCCUUUUAUUAUUUAUAUUCAUGGGUGGUUUUACUAACCUAGAAUCCAAAACUAUGUAGAAGUCUCUGUCGAGAUGCUUUCAUAAAUACAUAACUAAAUUGGGUCACUAUAUGUCUAUAGUAAUCAUGUAAAGCCCGAUCUUAUAAAAUACGCAUCAUGACAUACAUGUAAUGGAUGACAUGUUUGCAUGCUAGGAAAGUCUCGAAAAAUUUACAAAAGUAGGUAUUGUACCUAGAGAUAAAACAAAGUUGAUUUAAGCCUCGAAUUAGAUCAAAUAGAAAUUUUAAGGUGAAAUUAAGAGCUUCACAGCCCAAGGAUGACUCAAAAUGGUAAUUCAGAAUUUGAGGAUCAAUUUGGAGUCAAACCAAAAUUUUCACUAUCUAGGGGCAAAAUGAUCAUUUGCCACCUAGGGACAAAAUGGAAAUUUUUUAAAAAGAUUUUUUUGGCCCCAUUUGACUUAUUGGAGUAUGAUUUGAGUAUUAGAGUAUGAUUUGAGGUUUAGAAGUGAAAAAUUUUAAUUUUCGGUAUAAUUUGGAGUAUAGGGGCGAAAUGGUAAUUUUGCCACCUCAAGGGCAAAUCGAUAAAUUUUCACCCCCGACACUUGUCCAGCACAUGGAUUUUAUCCAAUAUUAUCAUGGAUAAUUGAAGGAAAUUUAAGUGGUGGAGAGAGAUUGCUUAAUUGUUAAGUUUAAAAAAAUGGACCAAUGGGAUGGUGACAUGUGUCAAGCUUAUAUCCAUUUAUUUUUUUAGCUUUAAAAUCAGCAAAAAUCAGCUUAUUUUCUUCAUUAUGGCCGGCCAAAGCAUGAAGUGAAGAAGAACAAAGACAGAACAAAACCUAGGUGGGAAAAUUGAAGAAAAAGUGUGAGAUUUCAAGGGAUUAAGCUAAUAAAGGUCAAAUUUUGUGAUUUUAUCUUGUGAUUUACACUACCCAUGCUUUCUUUUUCAUUUUUCAUGCUUAGAACUCAAGUUUUCAUGAUGAACCCAUGCUGGCCAAAUUUGAGAGGAGAGGUUUUGAGCAUUGAUUUUGCUAGAUUUCAAGUUAAUUAAGUGUUUUUGGUUGUUUAGUAAUGGAAAGUAUGAAAAUCUAGCAAGAAAUCACUUUGUUCUUCACAAACCCACAAGAGGCUGAAUUUUCUAGGGAGGAUAUUGAGGCUGAAAUUGAUGAUAUUUCAUGAUAUUUUGGUGGUAUUUAAUGAUUGGUGAGGCUAGAAAUUUAAUGGGAAAUUUUAGCAUGAAAAUCUGAAUUUUUACUUAAUGUAUAAACAUGUGCGAUUUAUGGUUCGGACUGAUAAAUUGAAUUAUAUUCACAGUCAUUGAGGUAUUUUAAGUAUAAUUGGAGUGUAGAAAGUGAAAGAAAUCGAUUUGGAGUUAAAUUGGAGGUUUUAGCCAAUUACACCGAGAACAGAGCGAAUUAGGUCAAAGACCGUAUUUAAACGGCUAUUUGGACAUUUUUGCAUUCCAUAUCAUGCAUUAGUAGUCUAAAUUAGUUUAAUUUCAAUUUAGUAUCAAUGUGGUGAAUUUUUCGAUUUUGUACAGUGUCAAGGUGGUGAGUCUUUCGAUAAAGGCAAGAAAAUUGCAUCCGAGGACUAGUAGACAGAGUACUUCGAAAGUCUGCAUUCUAGACAUUGUGAGUAAACUUACUGUCAUUUUAAUUAUCUAGGGUGGUUUUUAGAUGAUUUCAUGAAUUCUAUGAAAAAAUGGAUUUAAAAAGGUAAAUUUUUAUGUUUUAUGAAUAAAGGUGUUCCAAUGAAAUUAAUUUAUAAAUUGUUUUGAAAUUAAUAAUGAUUUUGAAAAAUAGAGUACACGGAGACUGUUAAUUGUGGCAAUUUGAUUGUUUAAAUUGAUGGCUUAUGUUAUAUUGUUAUUGUGUUGGCAUGACUGGCUGGGCUGUGUUUUAUGAAUUGUAUGAAUUGUUUUAUUUUACCCUUGCAGGCUAGGUAGUAUUUCAUUAGCCCUGUGAUGCCAUCAAAAUUUUAUUAUAUGGUGGAUUAUAAAUUAAUUAAUCACUGCAAUAGGGGGUUUUUGUGGACCAACCUUUUAAAGGGGCACAGUAAACCCCAUUAUAUUCUUACCUCGAAUGGAGAGGCACGUAGGGUAGCUCCUAGGGUAAAGCUUAGGGUUCACUUCAAGCCAAACCACCACGUGAGGGGGAACUCAGCCAACGCCAAGGAACGACUAUGUUUCAAAAUAAAAAUAUGAUUUAUGCGAAAUGUGAAUUUUUAACAGCCUUGGCGGUCUCGAUAGGAUGCCUUGGCCAAGGUGUCCCUAAGAAUGGAUUUAUGGCACAAGCCUAGUUUUUAUGAGAUUCAUAAGCCUCUUUACGUAUUUUGAAUGAAAUGUGUUCUAAUAUUGUGACCCAAUUUACGAUGAUUUACUUUAUUGUCUCCGUGUACUCAACUCUAGAUGUUUAUGAUGAUGUCUGUUUACUCAUUGGGAUUUUAUAAUCUCACCACCCUCAUUUCCAUCCAUUUCAGGUUUGGUAUAAACUGUAGAUAGCUGAUCUCAUCGAGGACUACCGUUAGAUCUGUAUUUUCCAAACUAUAGGUUCACAGUCCUCUUUACUUUUGUUUAUUCGGGGGCCCUCUUGUUAUUGUAAAUUAAAUUAAAUACUCUGACUUACUGUAUUACAAUAUGUAUGAAUUUAUUUAGCUUUUAUGCUACAAAUAUUAUUUACGUAUAACUCUAUAAAUAUUGUUUUAUAAGAAAAUAGAAUAUUUUACUUAAUAUUUUUUU
RNAcentral lists this long non-coding RNA (11257 nucleotides) under Theobroma cacao (cacao). RNAcentral describes it as "long non-coding RNA (TCAC_LNC004414)". Lineage: Eukaryota; Viridiplantae; Streptophyta; Magnoliopsida; Malvales; Malvaceae. The record is from RNAcentral.